This 484-nucleotide ribosomal RNA is filed under the name uncultured bacterium. RNAcentral's name for it is "partial 16S ribosomal RNA". It matches the Rfam family "Bacterial small subunit ribosomal RNA", at positions 30 to 507 of the family's 1533-position model. The record is from RNAcentral.
AUUGAACGCUGGCGGCAGGCCUAACACAUGCAAGUCGAGCGGAUGAAGGGAGCUUGCUCCUGGAUUCAGCGGCGGACGGGUGAGUAAUGCCUAGGAAUCUGCCUGGUAGUGGGGGAUAACGUCCAGAAACGGGCGCUAAUACCGCAUACGUCCUGAGGGAGAAAGUGGGGGAUCUUCGGACCUCACGCUAUCAGAUGAGCCUAGGUCGGAUUAGCUAGUUGGUGGGGUAAAGGCCUACCAAGGCGACGAUCCGUAACUGGUCUGAGAGGAUGAUCAGUCACACUGGAACUGAGACACGGUCCAGACUCCUACGGGAGGCAGCAGCGGGGAAUAUUGGACAAUGGGCGAAAGCCUGAUCCAGCCAUGCCGCGUGUGUGAAGAAGGUCUUCGGAUUGUAAAGCACUUUAAGUUGGGAGGAAGGGCAGUAAGUUAAUACCUUGCUGUUUUGACGUUACCAACAGAAUAAGCACCGGCUAACUCCGUG